This is a long non-coding RNA of Myotis myotis, 440 nucleotides long. RefSeq lists it as uncharacterized. The record is from RefSeq and is a predicted model, not a curated record. The transcript has 2 exons. Lineage: Eukaryota; Metazoa; Chordata; Mammalia; Chiroptera; Vespertilionidae.
CACGAUUCGCGGCUCUCUGUGCCCACGUGUCUACAGUGGCGACGUGUCCACGCAGGACCAGAGCAUUCGCCUGUGUCCGGGGGCGGGCAGAGCCCGCGAUCUCACGCGCCCGGACCAGUGCGCCCCCCACACCUCGCCCUCACGUCGCUGACUCCAAGAGCUCAGACGGAGAACACACAAUGCAAGAGAAGCAGCUGCAGCCUCGUCCAAUUAUGGUGCUAAAUUACCAAGCCAAAGGCGCUCGGAGGAAGACAGAGACAGAGAGAGUGAGACACGCACACAGAGACGGAGAGACGCAGAGACAGCGAGAGGGAGCAUGCAGUUCUGGUACAAAGUGAAUCCAAACUCACCAUGGAUGAAUAGGUGUGGACUAACAUCUGGAAAAAAAAGCCUGGUUACUGCUCAAAAUCAAACAAUGAUUUCCAAAAAAAAAAAAAAAA